UAGGCAUAAAAAUAGAACUAAUGCCGAUCCUAUACGGAUAUACACAUACAAUAUGGACUGUAGGCAUUAUGAAGGUAUUCUAAAUCUGUAUAAAUUACAAAUGAAAUUUCAUAAGGAUAAAGAAAUAUAUAAAAAACACAACUAAUCUCAAAGGAUACAAGAUAGCAAGGAAAAGCAAAAACAACAUAAAAUAAAAAUAUAGCAAUAAAAUUGGACAAUGGGAUUGGGAGACUACUUUGUUAGAGCUUAACUCUAAUAGGGUUUUAUACCCGUUUAGUCUCCACAAUGCCCAGAGUCAAAUAUAUUGAAAUAAAAAAGGAAUAAACAAAAAGAAGCAAGAUCAAAAUACCGCAAUAACAUUGGACAAUGGGAUUGGGAGACUACUUUAUUAGAGCUUAACUCUAACAGGGUGCAUACCCGUUUAGUCUCCACAAUGCCCAGAGUCAAUAUAUGAAACAAACAAGGAACCAGCAAAAAGAAACGAGACUUAGCUUAAACAAAAACCAAACAAACAGCCAGAGAUGAUAUCACUUCGAAAUGUACAAGAAAACAGAAAAACAACCAACAAAGUGAAGAAUAUUACAAACUAUAUAAUGAACAAUAUUGAAUUUAAAAUUUAUUUGUUAAAUAUAUUGUUAUGUUAUUGUUAUGAUGAAAAUUAUAUGCAUUUUCAUUUCAGUAAUAAAUAUCGAAAAAACUUUCUCACGAU
RNAcentral lists this long non-coding RNA (709 nucleotides) under Mytilus galloprovincialis (Mediterranean mussel). The record is from RNAcentral. Lineage: Eukaryota; Metazoa; Mollusca; Bivalvia; Mytilida; Mytilidae.